RNAcentral lists this transfer RNA (58 nucleotides) under Salmo salar (Atlantic salmon). It matches the Rfam family "tRNA", at positions 8 to 63 of the family's 71-position model. Rfam says of the family: Transfer RNA (tRNA) molecules are approximately 80 nucleotides in length. Their secondary structure includes four short double-helical elements and three loops (D, anti-codon, and T loops). The record is from Rfam by way of RNAcentral. Lineage: Eukaryota; Metazoa; Chordata; Actinopteri; Salmoniformes; Salmonidae. RNAcentral also lists the same sequence under 1 other name.
UGGCUCAGUUGGUAGAGCAUGGCGCUUGCAACGCCAGGGUUGAGGGUUUGAAUCCCAU